This 515-nucleotide ribosomal RNA is filed under the name uncultured bacterium. RNAcentral describes it as "partial 16S ribosomal RNA". It matches the Rfam family "Bacterial small subunit ribosomal RNA", at positions 28 to 523 of the family's 1533-position model. The record is from RNAcentral.
GAUGAACGCUGGCGGCGUGCCUAAUACAUGCAAGUCGAGCGAAUGGAUUAAGAGCUUGCUCUUAUGAAGUUAGCGGCGGACGGGUGAGUAACACGUGGGUAACCUGCCCAUAAGACUGGGAUAACUCCGGGAAACCGGGGCUAAUACCGGAUAACAUUUUGAACCGCAUGGUUCAAAAUUGAAAGGCGGCUUCGGCUGUCACUUAUGGAUGGACCCGCGUCGCAUUAGCUAGUUGGUGAGGUAACGGCUCACCAAGGGAACGAUGCGUAGCCGACCUGAGAGGGUGAUCGGCCACACUGGGACUGAGACACGGCCCAGACUCCUACGGGAGGCAGCAGUAGGGAAUCUUCCGCAAUGGACGAAAGUCUGACGGAGCAACGCCGCGUGAGUGAUGAAGGCUUUCGGGUCGUAAAACUCUGUUGUUAGGGAAGAACAAGUGCUAGUUGAAUAAGCUGGCACCUUGACGGUACCUAACCAGAAAGCCACGGCUAACUACGUGCCAGCAGCCGCCGCAG